AUGAAAAGAACUUUGAAAAGAGAGUUAAAGAGUGCUUGAAAUUGUUGAGGGGGAAGCCAUUGGCGGCUGGGAUGCACCUGGACUCGAGCCGCCCUAACGGGUGGUGUUCCGUGCCAGGAGCUGGUCAGCAUGGGUUACGCCUGCGGGAGAAACCUCCUUCUGGAGUCUAUGCCGCGGGGGUGACCGAGGGACGAAGGGCGCUCUGUCUUCGGAUCUGCGUCCUCAAGAUGCUGGCAUAAGGCUGCCAAUGGGCCCGUCUUGAAACACGGACCAAGGAGUCUAACAUGUACGCGAGUUGGCGGGUGGAAAACCCGUGAGCGCAAGGAAACUGACUGGUGGGAUGGCCUGUGCCUGCACCAUCGACCGACCAUGAUCUUCUGUGAAAGGUUCGAGUACGAGCGUACCUGUUGGGACCCGAAAGAUGGUGAACUAUGCCUGAGCAGGGCGAAGCCAGAGGAAACUCUGGUGGAGGCUCGUAGAUGUGCUGACGUGCAAAUCGCUUUUCGGACUUGGGUAUAGGGGCGAAAGACUAAUCGAACUAUCUAGUAGCUGGUUCCCUCCGAAGUUUCCCCCAGGAUAGCUGGAGCUUAAUCAGUUUUAUCA
This 603-nucleotide ribosomal RNA is filed under the name Blidingia marginata. RNAcentral describes it as "eukaryotic LSU rRNA". It matches the Rfam family "Eukaryotic large subunit ribosomal RNA", at positions 364 to 1006 of the family's 3401-position model. Lineage: Eukaryota; Viridiplantae; Chlorophyta; Ulvophyceae; Ulvales; Ulvaceae. The record is from RNAcentral.